AGAGUUUGAUUCUGGCUCAGGAUGAACGCUGGCGGCGUGCUUAACACAUGCAAGUCGAACGGGAAAUAUUUCAUUGAGACUUCGGUGGAUUUGAUUUAUUUCUAGUGGCGGACGGGUGAGUAACGCGUGGGUAACCUGCCUUAUACAGGGGGAUAACAGUCAGAAAUGGCUGCUAAUACCGCAUAAGCGCACAGAGCUGCAUGGCUCAGUGUGAAAAACUCCGGUGGUAUAAGAUGGACCCGCGUUGGAUUAGCUGGUUGGUGGGGUAACGGCCCACCAAGGCGACGAUCCAUAGCCGGCCUGAGAGGGUGAACGGCCACAUUGGGACUGAGACACGGCCCAG
Molecule: ribosomal RNA, 343 nt
Filed under: uncultured bacterium
Lineage: Bacteria
Description: bacterial SSU rRNA
Rfam family: Bacterial small subunit ribosomal RNA
Source: RNAcentral